GCUAUAAAACCAACACCAACUGUGUGCCGGCGCAUGGUGCUAGCGCAAUAGCGCCAUUGGUUUUUCUAUUCAACUUAAGCGCAACCCUUUGUUACAGUGCACUGAUUUAAUGUGAUAACGAUAAUAUCUUGCCAUCUCCUACUGUAGAUACCAUCAUUCUUUUAUUUCUUUUGGCGCAAUUUUAUGGAAUUUGGUCUGCAAAAUUCUUUAAAGGUAUCUUCGAUUUCAUAAAUAACGUCAACACGUGACAGCAACAGGUAAAAUAGGGGAACAACCUGGCAGUAUGGGCAUCAUCUAUUUCCAGUUAUCAAUUCCAAUGCCGAAAAUAUAAAAAUGUUACAACGGCAAGUCAAUAGACGGCAAUAGAUUGGUCAACAUCCGCGUAUUAUAUUACAAAGCCAUUGCACAGACAGUCUACCAUUUGCACUACUUAAAAUUGAAUGACACAUUUUAAAACUUUUAAUUAAAUUAAAGUAAAAUAAAAUGGCUACAAAAAAAACGAGUGACAUCUGGCUCAAUUUUUCUGAGGAAAAAGACCAAAAAGUCACAUGCAAGAGCUGUGGCCAAAAGUUGUCAGCGGAAAACAAGUCAAUCUGUUCAGCAUAUGAAGAGGAAGCACCCCACCCAGAUUAUUUCGAGGCAGACAAACGUAGUAAGUGAAAACAAUAGUGUUGAAUCGGGGCCACCUCCUCCACAAAGUCUUCAACUGCAGCAAACAAACCAGCUAACCAUUCAACAAAUUUUUCAGUACUUUAAUAAACCAAUUGCACUGAAAAAAAAGGAAGAAAUAGACAGGCAGGUUCUUAAAUUGAUUGUUAAAGAGUACCAUGCCUUCAGCAUUGGUGAAAAUUCGGAAUUUAAAAAAUAAGUAUAUCUUUUGAAUCCAAAUUAUCACCUGCCAGCGAGAAAGACGGUUUCUUCAACUCUAUUGACAAACGCGUACUCGGAAGUAAUGGAAUCCGUGAAAGAACGGUUGAAAAGGGCGUUUGCUGUUGGUUUAACAGUAGAUGGCUGGACUUCGCGAGCCCAAGACCAUUUCUUCAGUGUAACUGCGCAUUACAUCGUUGACGACGACAAGUCGACA
Long non-coding RNA from Rhagoletis zephyria (snowberry fruit fly), 1084 nucleotides. RefSeq lists it as uncharacterized. NCBI's taxonomy places the organism in Eukaryota, Metazoa, Arthropoda, Insecta, Diptera, Tephritidae. The record is from RefSeq and is a predicted model, not a curated record.